This 69-nucleotide transfer RNA is filed under the name Gekko bannaense. Its description in RNAcentral is "tRNA-Cys". Lineage: Eukaryota; Metazoa; Chordata; Lepidosauria; Squamata; Gekkonidae. The record is from RNAcentral.
ACCCACUAGCCCCGCAGUACAACACUAAAGUGCAAAUUUAGAAACGCACCCGAAAGAGUGCCGGGGCUU